AGUGAACGCUGGCGGUAGGCCUAACACAUGCCAGUCGAACGGCAGCACAGUAAGAGCUUGCUCUUACGGGUGGCGAGUGGCGGACGGGUGAGGAAUACAUCGGAAUCUACUUUUUCGUGGGGGAUAACGUAGGGAAACUUACGCUAAUACCGCAUACGACCUACGGGUGAAAGAAGGGGAUCUUCGGACCUUGCGCGAUUGAAUGAGCCGAUGUCGGAUUAGCUAGUGGGCGGGGUAAAGGCCCACCAAGGCGACGAUCCGUAGCUGGUCUGAGAGGAUGAUCAGCCACACUGGAACUGAGACACGGUCCAGACUCCUACGGGAGGCAGCAGUGGGGAAUAUUGGACAAUGGGCGCAAGCCUGAUCCAGCCAUACCGCGUGGGUGAAGAAGGCCUUCGGGUUGUAAAGCCCUUUUGUUGGGAAAGAAAAGCAGCAGGUUAAUACCCCGCUGUUCUGACGGUACCCAAAGAAUAAGCACCGGCUAACUUCGUG
This 492-nucleotide ribosomal RNA is filed under the name uncultured bacterium. RNAcentral describes it as "partial 16S ribosomal RNA". It matches the Rfam family "Bacterial small subunit ribosomal RNA", at positions 29 to 507 of the family's 1533-position model. The record is from RNAcentral.